Molecule: ribosomal RNA, 359 nt
Filed under: Philine scalpta
Lineage: Eukaryota; Metazoa; Mollusca; Gastropoda; Cephalaspidea; Philinidae
Description: partial 28S large subunit ribosomal RNA
Rfam family: Eukaryotic large subunit ribosomal RNA
Source: RNAcentral
CCGCUGAAUUUAAGCAUAUAACUAAGCGGAGGAAAAGAAACUAACUAGGAUUUCCCCAGUAACGGCGAGUGAAGCGGGAAGAGCCCAGCACCGAAUCCCCCAGUGUCAUGCUGGCGGGACCUGUGGUGUGUGGGACGCCACCAGUCGCAUGUGCGGGCACCGAAGUCCUCCUGAUUGAGGCUUCACCCAGAGCGGGUGUAAGGCCUUUGCCGGUGCCUCGCUGUGCGGCCGCGAGCGUCUCAGGAGUCGGGUUGUUUGGGAAUGCAGCCCUAAGCGGGUGGUAAACUCCAUCUAAGGCUAAAUACUGGCACGAGUCCGAUAGCGGACAAGUACCGUGAGGGAAAGUUGAAAAGAACUUU